Molecule: long non-coding RNA, 243 nt
Filed under: Glycine max (soybean)
Lineage: Eukaryota; Viridiplantae; Streptophyta; Magnoliopsida; Fabales; Fabaceae
Description: long non-coding RNA (GMAX_LNC000482)
Source: RNAcentral
AAAGUAAAACAAAGAUAUGAUGAGAUCUUGAAAAGAGCGUGCGAACCGAAAACAAAACUUUCCCCGUAGCCUGUCUUUGGACUUUGGAUAUCGCGGAGGCCGAGCAUUUCGUUGAAAAGGGAAAUGAUGGCUUUGACGGUGAUGAUGCCAUCGUUGGAGGCGGAACGGAAGAUCUUGGCCCAUGGAGAUGGUGCAGUCGCUGCGAUAGUUCUCGAAAGCAUCGGAGUGGAGGAGGAUCUCCAC